AGCCCAGGAGCAGCAUAGACACCGGGCAGCACAGUGCUACAGAGCUAAAGCCUGAGGAGAGGUCCUCCUUUUUUGUCCUCCACUUCUUGGUGGAGCUGCACUCCCAGGAGAAUCCACCAGCUGAACUCCUGGCCCAGCUGGAGCAAGCUGAGUCCACUGAGGCACAGCCCACGGGACCAGCUCCAGCCCCAGCUGAAGUCCCACGUGCGGAGCCCGAGCCAGCUCCACCUGCAGCUUCCUGCCCAGGCUGGGACCACAGCCAGAGUCCGUGGCAGCCUCUUCACCUGCUGCAGUGCUGGGGCACCUGGUGGUUGCACGGCGGUUGGUGUCACCUCCUGAGCUCCGCCUGGGGCCAGCUCCUGGCCCCUCCCACUGUUUCCCUC
RNAcentral lists this long non-coding RNA (383 nucleotides) under Heterocephalus glaber (naked mole-rat). RNAcentral describes it as "lncRNA (ENSHGLG00000029175.2)". Lineage: Eukaryota; Metazoa; Chordata; Mammalia; Rodentia; Bathyergidae. The record is from RNAcentral.